AGAGUUUGAUCAUGGCUCAGAUUGAACGCUGGCGGCAGGCCUAACACAUGCAAGUCGAGCGGUAGAGAGAAGCUUGCUUCUCUUGAGAGCGGCGGACGGGUGAGUAAUGCCUAGGAAUCUGCCUGGUAGUGGGGGAUAACGUUCGGAAACGGACGCUAAUACCGCAUACGUCCUACGGGAGAAAGCAGGGGACCUUCGGGCCUUGCGCUAUCAGAUGAGCCUAGGUCGGAUUAGCUAGUUGGUGGGGUAAUGGCUCACCAAGGCGACGAUCCGUAACUGGUCUGAGAGGAUGAUCAGUCACACUGGAACUGAGACACGGUCCAGACUCCUACGGGAGGCAGCAGUGGGGAAUAUUGGACAAUGGGCGAAAGCCUGAUCCAGCCAUGCCGCGUGUGUGAAGAAGGUCUUCGGAUUGUAAAGCACUUUAAGUUGGGAGGAAGGGCAGUAAAUUAAUACUUUGCUGUUUUGACGUUACCGACAGAAUAAGCACCGGCUAACUCUGUGCCAGCAGCCGCGGUA
Molecule: ribosomal RNA, 519 nt
Filed under: uncultured Pseudomonadota bacterium
Lineage: Bacteria; Pseudomonadati; Pseudomonadota
Description: bacterial SSU rRNA
Rfam family: Bacterial small subunit ribosomal RNA
Source: RNAcentral